This 245-nucleotide ribosomal RNA is filed under the name uncultured bacterium. RNAcentral's name for it is "partial 16S ribosomal RNA". It matches the Rfam family "Bacterial small subunit ribosomal RNA", at positions 524 to 767 of the family's 1533-position model. The record is from RNAcentral.
GACGAACCGUGCGAACGUUAUUCGGAAUCACUGGGCUUAAAGCGCGUGUAGGCGGGCCGCCACGUCGGAUGCUGAAAUCCCCCGGCUCAACCGGGGAACGGGCACCGAUACGAGCGGCCUGGAGGGGAGUAGGGGGACCUGGAACUUCCGGUGGAGCGGUGAAAUGCGUUGAGAUCGGAAGGAACGCCCGUGGCGAAAGCGAGGUCCUGGGCUCUUACUGACGCUGAGACGCGAAAGCCAGGGGA